UGGGGGAUAUUGCACAAUGGGGGAAACCCUGAUGCAGCGACGCCGCGUGAGUGAAGAAGCACCUCGGUGCGUAAAGCUCCGUCAGCGGGGAAGAGGAAGGACGGUACCCGCAGGAGAAGCCCCGGCUAACUACGUGCCAGCAGCCGCGGUAAUACGUAGGGGGCAAGCGUUAUCCGGAUUUACUGGGUGUAAAGGGAGCGUAGACGGCCUUGCAAGUCCGGAGUGAAAGCCCGGGGCCCAACCCCGGGACUGCUUUGGAAACUGCCGGGCUGGAGUGCGGGAGGGGCAGGCGGAAUUCCUAGUGUAGCGGUGAAAUGCGUAGAUAUUAGGAGGAACACCGGCGGCGAAGGCGGCCUGCUGGACCGCGACUGACGUUGAGGCUCGAAGGCGUGGGGAGCAA
RNAcentral lists this ribosomal RNA (400 nucleotides) under uncultured bacterium. RNAcentral's name for it is "bacterial SSU rRNA". It matches the Rfam family "Bacterial small subunit ribosomal RNA", at positions 355 to 771 of the family's 1533-position model. The record is from RNAcentral.